Molecule: ribosomal RNA, 1246 nt
Filed under: Candidatus Phytoplasma zeae
Lineage: Bacteria; Bacillati; Mycoplasmatota; Mollicutes; Acholeplasmatales; Acholeplasmataceae
Description: bacterial SSU rRNA
Rfam family: Bacterial small subunit ribosomal RNA
Source: RNAcentral
GAAACGACUGCUAAGACUGGAUAGGAGACAAGAAGGCAUCUUCUUGUUUUUAAAAGACCUAGCAAUAGGUAUGCUUAGGGAGGAGCUUGCGUCACAUUAGUUAGUUGGUGGGGUAAAGGCCUACCAAGACUAUGAUGUGUAGCCGGGCUGAGAGGUUGAACGGCCACAUUGGGACUGAGACACGGCCCAAACUCCUACGGGAGGCAGCAGUAGGGAAUUUUCGGCAAUGGAGGAAACUCUGACCGAGCAACGCCGCGUGAACGAUGAAGUAUUUCGGUACGUAAAGUUCCUUUAUUAGGGAAGAAUAAAUGAUGGAAAAAUCAUUCUGACGGUACCUAAUGAAUAAGCCCCGGCUAACUAUGUGCCAGCAGCCGCGGUAAUACAUAGGGGGCAAGCGUUAUCCGGAAUUAUUGGGCGUAAAGGGUGCGUAGGCGGUUAAAUAAGUUUAUGGUCUAAGUGCAAUGCUCAACAUUGUGAUGCUAUAAAAACUGUUUAGCUAGAGUAAGAUAGAGGCAAGUGGAAUUCCAUGUGUAGUGGUAAAAUGCGUAAAUAUAUGGAGGAACACCAGUAGCGAAGGCGGCUUGCUGGGUCUUUACUGACGCUGAGGCACGAAAGCGUGGGGAGCAAACAGGAUUAGAUACCCUGGUAGUCCACGCCGUAAACGAUGAGUACUAAACGUUGGGUAAAACCAGUGUUGAAGUUAACACAUUAAGUACUCCGCCUGAGUAGUACGUACGCAAGUAUGAAACUUAAAGGAAUUGACGGGACUCCGCACAAGCGGUGGAUCAUGUUGUUUAAUUCGAAGGUACCCGAAAAACCUCACCAGGUCUUGACAUGCUUCUGCAAAGCUGUAGAAACACAGUGGAGGUUAUCAGUUGCACAGGUGGUGCAUGGUUGUCGUCAGCUCGUGUCGUGAGAUGUUGGGUUAAGUCCCGCAACGAGCGCAACCCUUAUUGUUAGUUACCAGCACGUAAUGGUGGGGACUUUAGCAAGACUGCCAGUGAUAAAUUGGAGGAAGGUGGGGACGACGUCAAAUCAUCGUGCCCCUUAUGACCUGGGCUACAAACGUGAUACAAUGGCUGUUACAAAGGGUAGCUGAAGCGCAAGUUUUUGGCGAAUCUCAAAAAAACAGUCUCAGUUCGGAUUGAAGUCUGCAACUCGACUUCAUGAAGUUGGAAUCGCUAGUAAUCGCGAAUCAGCAUGUCGCGGUGAAUACGUUCGCGGGGUUUGUACACACCGCCCGUCA